ACUGAGUUUCUCGCCGGAUCUUGUCAGUGGAUCACGUUUCCGAUCCGGUGACAGAUUCUGCGAAGCACGGCUCUUGCUAAGGUUCGUGUUAGCAACAACGUCAGGUUUGAGCCCCAUGAGCUCACCUACUUGCCCCGUUACGCUGCAAUAGUAUCUCAAGACCAUCAGCUUAGGCAUCAGUUAUCAGUGCCUUUUUUUCGGUCUGGGGCCGAAACCGAACACACGUGGUAUGUAAGGGAUAGUAUUUAGGGCCGGGGUAAAGGGGUUACCGCGGUCAACACUGCAACUCGACGCAUGGCUCACCCAAGGACAACUCGAGACUAUGGACCUCGGGGGCGUGUUAAAGUGUUGGAAAGCGCUGAGGCCACAGCCUACAGGGUCCAGGACGUACAUUCGUACUGUCUCUUCGCAGAAGUCACGCAUCACCUUCCAGGACGCGUCGCUGCCAAGCAUCGUAUUCACGAUGGUCAGCAGCGACAGGUUCUCUCCCACAACCGCGACGACUCAAGUAAACGUAACAAAAGGCAAUUUGUCGCCAAGCUUGCGAGGUUCUAACUUACCCUGUAGAAUAGCUAAAUAAUCAUUCAAAGCGCUGAUUAAACCAUCCCAAAAUCUAUCUUUUUCUGCUGGAAAUAUGUUUUUCCAGUGUGUCCAAUACUGUUCGAUUUCCUCCGUAGUUAGCUGACGGGAUGGUGUUGAAAAAUCCGGCGGCUUAACAGAUUCUCUAAAUUAUCAAAACAAAUAUUAUCAAACACUUCAAAAAAUUACUUAAUGUUAACGUUUCCAAUUUACAUACAUAAAACCUUUAAAAUAUUAAAACUUACAGAAUAUUGAA
Long non-coding RNA from Bombyx mori (domestic silkworm), 835 nucleotides. RefSeq lists it as uncharacterized. The record is from RefSeq and is a predicted model, not a curated record. NCBI's taxonomy places the organism in Eukaryota, Metazoa, Arthropoda, Insecta, Lepidoptera, Bombycidae. The transcript is spliced from 2 exons.